GUGUGCGGUACCUCAUUCCAGGAAGUGCCAUUCACGUGGCUAAAAAUAUGAUUGGCACCUCUUGGAGUGAAGUAAUGUGCAA
Sus scrofa (pig) is the source of this 82-nucleotide non-coding RNA. Lineage: Eukaryota; Metazoa; Chordata; Mammalia; Artiodactyla; Suidae. The record is from Rfam.